CGCGCGCCCCUCCGGCGCUUGUCGCAGAGGCUGCCGGGAGACGUAGUCUUGUAACGCUCUCUCGCCGGACAUUCCUAAUGGUUAGCGCCCAGCCUGUGAAGAGUCGGGGGUCGGGGAGGGGGUCUCGCUAAGAAGGAGGUUUGCAGACCAUGGCAAAGACUGGAGCUAGAGAUUCGCUGGCCUUGAAGAAGCAAGCUGUCAUGUUGCGAACUGCCUAUGGAGAAAACUAAAUGGCAGGGAACUGCAGACGGCUUCUAGAACUUGAGCGCAGCCUGCAGCUGACAACCAGUAAGAAGCCAGGGCCCUCAGUCACACAACCACAAGGAAAUGAAUUCUGCCAACAACCUGAGAGGUGGCCUCCAGAUGAGAAGACAGCCUGACUUAAACCUUGAUAGCAGUUUUGUGAGACCCUGAGCAAAGAAAACAGAUAAACUGUGCGUAGACUCCUGGUCUACAGAAACUGUGAGAUAAUAAAUGUGUCUUAAGAUACUA
This 492-nucleotide long non-coding RNA is filed under the name Homo sapiens (human). RNAcentral's name for it is "HSALNT0314195". The record is from RNAcentral. Lineage: Eukaryota; Metazoa; Chordata; Mammalia; Primates; Hominidae.